CAAUAGCGUAUAUUAAAGUUGUUGCAGUUAAAAAGCUCGUAGUUGGAUUUCUGUUUUGGAUAUCCGGUCGGCGCUCUUUGAGCGUGUGUACUUGUGGAUGUUCGAGGCAUUUUUUGUGAGUGCUCGUUUCUGCCGUUAAGUUGGUGGUUUCGGUGGCUUGCAUCGUUUACUGUGAAAAAAUUAGAGUGUUUAAAGCAGGCGUUUGCUCAUUUGAAUACAUUAGCAUGGAAUAAUAAGAUACGGCCUUGGUGGUCUAUUUUGUUGGUUUGCACACCAGGGUAAUGAUUAAUAGGGACAGUUGGGGGUAUUCAUAUUUCAGCGUCAGAGGUGAAAUUCUUGGAUCGCUGAAAGAUGAGCUUAGGCGAAAGCAUUUACCAAGGAUGUUUUCAUUAA
RNAcentral lists this ribosomal RNA (393 nucleotides) under uncultured eukaryote. RNAcentral describes it as "partial 18S ribosomal RNA". It matches the Rfam family "Eukaryotic small subunit ribosomal RNA", at positions 592 to 976 of the family's 1831-position model. The record is from RNAcentral.